CUGGUUUCUCUUCAGAUCAUAUAAAUUUUUUUGCCUUUUACUAAAGAUCUCCAUGGAGAGGAGUAGCAGAAG
RNAcentral lists this small nuclear RNA (72 nucleotides) under Coturnix japonica (Japanese quail). RNAcentral describes it as "U5 spliceosomal RNA (ENSCJPG00005008259.1)". It matches the Rfam family "U5 spliceosomal RNA", at positions 5 to 76 of the family's 117-position model. From Rfam's summary of the family: U5 RNA is a component of both types of known spliceosome. The precise function of this molecule is unknown, though it is known that the 5' loop is required for splice site selection and p220 binding, and that both the 3' stem-loop and the Sm site are important for Sm protein binding and cap methylation. The record is from RNAcentral. Lineage: Eukaryota; Metazoa; Chordata; Aves; Galliformes; Phasianidae.